RNAcentral lists this long non-coding RNA (794 nucleotides) under Nicotiana benthamiana. Its description in RNAcentral is "long non-coding RNA (NBEN_LNC006533)". The record is from RNAcentral. Lineage: Eukaryota; Viridiplantae; Streptophyta; Magnoliopsida; Solanales; Solanaceae.
UUGUUGUUGUUGUUGUUGUUGUUGUUGUUGUUGUAUAUCUGUUAAAUACAAAGCACCAUUGGAAAAAACCCUUGUUACGAUAAACGACCCCUAACAAUUUGGGGCGAACUUGCCUUUUGCUUCAGCCUGAUAUGGCAGGAUGCAUUUCAAUACUUGCUGCCCCACUUUAAACUUCCAGGGAUUCACCUUCUUGUUGUAUGCUCUUGCCAUUUUCUUUUGGUACAACUGGCCAUGACACAUUGCUGGCAGUCUUUUCUCGUCAAUCAAAAUUAAUUGUUCCAAACAGGUCUUGACCCACUCAUUAUCAUCAAUUUUGGUUUAAAUAAUAAUCAGAAGAGAUGGAAUUUCUAUUCCGCGGGUAUCACUGCUUCAGUCCUAUAUACCAACAAAUAAGGAGUUGCACCUAUUGAAGUGCGAACAGUAGUGGGAUAACCCAAUAAAGCAAAGGGUAACUUCUCAUGCCAUUGCUUGGAUCCUUGCACCAUUUUCUAAAGUAUCUACUUUAUAUUCUAGUUGGCUGCCUCGACUGCUCCAUUCUCCUUGGGAGGUAGGGGGUGGAAUUUCGAUGCAUAAUCUUAAACUUUUGACACACUUCUUUCAUGAGAUGACUUUUAAGAUUGGCACCAUUAUCUGUGAUGAUCACCUUUGGGAUUUCGAACUGACAAAUGAUAUUUGAAUAAACAAAAUUGACCACUGACUUCUUGGUCACAGAUUUGAAAGUUUUAGUUUCAACCCACUGAGUGAAAUAGUCAAUGGAUACCAGAAUAAACCUGUGUACAUUGAAUGCUGCUAGC